RNAcentral lists this ribosomal RNA (254 nucleotides) under uncultured bacterium. Its description in RNAcentral is "partial 16S ribosomal RNA". It matches the Rfam family "Bacterial small subunit ribosomal RNA", at positions 524 to 776 of the family's 1533-position model. The record is from RNAcentral.
UACGAAGGGGGCAAGCGUUGUUCGGAAUUACUGGGCGUAAAGGGCGCGUAGGCGGUGCGUUAAGUCAGACGUGAAAUCCCUCGGCUUAACCGGGGAACUGCGUCUGAUACUGGAUGGCUUGAGUUUGGGAGAGGGAUGCGGAAUUCCAGGUGUAGCGGUGAAAUGCGUAGAUAUCUGGAGGAACACCGGUGGCGAAGGCGGCAUCCUGGACCAACACUGACGCUGAGUGAGCGAAAGCCAGGGGAGCAAACGGG